GAGAGAGGCUCGCCAGCAAGGAAAGCUGCUAACUUUUCCCAGCCUCUGGUUGAACCCCAGAGCUCCCUCA
Molecule: transfer RNA, 70 nt
Filed under: Linophryne bicornis
Lineage: Eukaryota; Metazoa; Chordata; Actinopteri; Lophiiformes; Linophrynidae
Also listed under: 1 other name
Description: tRNA-Ser
Source: RNAcentral